Molecule: ribosomal RNA, 497 nt
Filed under: uncultured bacterium
Lineage: Bacteria
Description: partial 16S ribosomal RNA
Rfam family: Bacterial small subunit ribosomal RNA
Source: RNAcentral
GACGAACGCUGGCGGCGUGCCUAAUACAUGCAAGUUGAGCGAUGAAGAUUGGUGCUUGCACCAAUUUGAAGAGCAGCGAACGGGUGAGUAACGCGUGGGGAAUCUGCCUUUGAGCGGGGGACAACAUUUGGAAACGAAUGCUAAUACCGCAUAACAACUUUAAACAUAAGUUUUAAGUUUGAAAGAUGCAAUUGCAUCACUCAAAGAUGAUCCCGCGUUGUAUUAGCUAGUUGGUGAGGUAAAGGCUCACCAAGGCGAUGAUACAUAGCCGACCUGAGAGGGUGAUCGGCCACAUUGGGACUGAGACACGGCCCAAACUCCUACGGGAGGCAGCAGUAGGGAAUCUUCGGCAAUAGACGAAAGUCUGACCGAGCAACGCCGCGUGAGUGAAGAAGGUUUUCGGAUCGUAAAACUCUGUUGGUAGAGAAGAACGUUGGUGAGAGUGGAAAGCUCAUCGAGUGACGGUAACUACCCAGAAAGGGACGGCUAACUACGUG